GACGAACGCUGGCGGCGUGCUUAACACAUGCAAGUCGAACGGAAAGGCCCUGCUUUUGUGGGGUGCUCGAGUGUCGAACGGGUGAGUAACACGUGGGUAGCCUGCCAUUGACUUUGGGAUAACUUCAGGAAACUGUGGCUAGUAGCGGAUAGGGGCUCCUGCUGCAUGGUGGGGGUUGGCAAGUUUCGGCGGUUGUGGAGGGGCUGUCGGCUUAUCAGGCUGUUGGUGGGGUAGUGGCUGACCAAGUCGUUGACGGGUAGCAGGCCUGAGAGGGUGACCGGCCACAUCGGGACGGAGAUGAGGCCCAGCCUCCUACGGGAGGAAGCAGUGGGGAAGAAUGCACCACGGGCGGAAGACGGAUGAAGCAGCGACGCGUGCGGGAUGAAGGACUUCGGGUUGUAAUCCGCUUCCGCCUGCGAAGAAGAGUGAGUGACGGUAAUGGGUAAAGAAGCACCGGCUAACUACGUG
Molecule: ribosomal RNA, 468 nt
Filed under: uncultured bacterium
Lineage: Bacteria
Description: partial 16S ribosomal RNA
Rfam family: Bacterial small subunit ribosomal RNA
Source: RNAcentral